Molecule: long non-coding RNA, 1009 nt
Filed under: Strigops habroptila (Kakapo)
Lineage: Eukaryota; Metazoa; Chordata; Aves; Psittaciformes; Psittacidae
Description: lncRNA (ENSSHBG00005005947.1)
Source: RNAcentral
AAAUUAAACUCAGAAUGAAGGGGGCAAAUUAGUAGGAAAGCACUGCUUCCCCCUCCCAUUUCCUUUUAGAUUUAUUUUUUCCUGUUUGUUUUUUUUUUUUUUGUCUUCUUGUUUUUUUAAUAAUUGCACCUUCCUACAACGGUAUUUUAAUUCUCCACUUUUACUUCCAUAAGUAUGUGUGUUCCAUCCGAUUCAAUAACAACUAUUUGCUUUCACAAAUUCUCUCCAGUAGGGAAGUCAGAGCAUUUUGUUUACCUCAUUUGAAUAAUCCUUUAAUAAGAAUUCUAUGCUCAAAGUCCCCACAUUUUGCCAAUGACAGGAAUGGUGAGGUUUUUUCCCCUCAAAUAAGACGAAGAUUUUGAACCCUUUCAUUUCACCCAAAGCAGACAGCCCAAAUCACAAAUGGCAGCUGACUGGGUUCUAGUCGAAGCUGUGAGCCUUCCAUCAUCUGGAGUCAAAUGCUGAAGGCAUUCCUGGAUCCCACUCAAGGGGAACUGCGAACAGUUGGGGUUUGUUUUCUUUUAAAAUACGAGAAAAGUCUCAGACUUUCUGUUUGCCUGGCAACCAGGUCAGCUGUGUUUCAGACUUCUCAGAAACAAUGUUUUGUCCCAGAAUAUGGCCAGGUAAAAAGAAGGGGGAGUGGGGGAAGAAAGCACUGUUCAAUCUCUUACUUGAUUGCUUUGCAGCUUCUCUGAAAAAUACAACAGGAUUAGUUAUAGCAUCUGACUCUUAUCCCAGUUUCUCUCUUACCUGUUUUCCAUACCUCUUCUUCCCUUUAGCACUUGUAUAAAAGGCAAAAUGCCAAUAAUUAAUAGAGUAUGGAGGCAAAGUGGUUUAUUUUCAUAUUCCUGCUCAAUACCCAAAGAUUAACAUUCCUCAAAAUCAUCCAUCUAUCUGAACUUCAGAGAUCAUCUAUGGCUAAUGUGCUCUUGUAAGUUAAAAUAAGAGCAGCAGACCACAGGACAACCUUUGUAGUUGGCCAACGUUACCCCUAACAAUAAAACAUAAA